Molecule: ribosomal RNA, 312 nt
Filed under: Triticum aestivum (bread wheat)
Lineage: Eukaryota; Viridiplantae; Streptophyta; Magnoliopsida; Poales; Poaceae
Description: partial small subunit ribosomal RNA
Source: RNAcentral
AUGUGUAUUCACGUCAAAUAUAACACAUUGGUCCGAUCAACUAUAUCUUCUAUCAAAUCAAACAUGUUAUCAUCCGAUACGAGUACCUUCACACUACAAAUGUACUUUCACAAUAAAAAUGUAACAGCUACUAUAUUUCUUCUCACCAAGACCUCUACUUUCGAAACUGACUUUUCUUUCACAAAUAGUGUUCGGAAUAUCCACAAAGAGACCUCUUCAUUCAACGUACCCCAUAUUUGCGAUCCUCAAAACAUAACAAUCAGCACAAUUAUUAAGACAAGGGAAAAAAGUUAUCGUACAAUCCACAAGUAA